CAAUUCCUCUUUCACCAAAACAGACGCUCCCCUUUCACCUCUCCAUUGUCGCUUUCAAUCUCUGCCAUGGCAGAGCUCUCUCUUGGCUUUUUUCCUCCAUUUUUGGCCAAGUCUUGACCUUUAAAUCCCUACGCGCCAGAGCGUAUCUCACCAUUUCAGGUAUAACCUGAAGCUUAUCACUGAAGAAUCACGUGAAGAUUGAAUCCAUACAAAAGGCUUCAACGUUAAAAUUCAAACGGAUGCGUUUGACUUCUUUUGAAAUCUGAAUUUCAAAUUCCCGCUCAAAGGAACCAAGAACCCUAAUUUUACACCUAUAAAUACCAGACUUUGUGGCUAUUUUCAGCACCUUUUGGACCGCCCCUUCUAUCUCCCUUAACCCUCACUGUUUGGCUAACUAUUCAUAGUUUAUCUCCCUCCUUACUCUCUUAAAAUCUAGCUUUAAGUUUCUCUGCCUUUUGACCUUUAUUUAGUCUAUAGCCUUGCCAAAGCUUUCAUUUUUAUUUGUGUCGGCAUUUGACGAUCUUCCAAAAGAGUUGAGCCAAAGCCGGAGAUAGAUCUUCUUGACGACGCCCCAUUCACUGCCCACAAAAAGGUCAGCGACUUUAAAAUUUCUUCUUCUUGUUUUCUUCUGCUAGACUUGAAGUAAAUGUUUCACUUUGGUUUUAAAAAACGUGUGUUAUAGUUUAUUUUCCAUGAAGAAAGUGUGAUUUGAAGUCUGUCUGUGCAUAGAAAUCAUAUGUAGGGAUUGUGUGUAUUAUGACUUAAUUGAAUAGGAACACAAGGUGUCGACUAAGUACUUUUAUAAUGGUUAAUAAAUAAUUGUUAAUCUUAAGGCUCUUGCUUAAAACACUACUAUAUGUGCUUUUUUUGUUUCAAAUGAUAAGUUAGAGUAUUUGUUUCUUUUCCAGCAUGUAUAAAGUUAAAUUUUGUCUCUAUUCCAUAGGUCAAAACUAUGGCUUAGGUACCUUUUUCAUGUGUUCGAGAGACGGCGCUUUAAGUUUACUGUUUCUCUAGUUUAAAUAUCAUAAGAAGAAUGAUGUUAUUAAUUACCUCCAUGUCUAGUUGAAUGAUCUCAUUAUUUAGUAGAUAUUUUAAAGAACCAGCUUUAAACAGAUUUUUGUAUCUAAAGAAUCAUAAAGUUUUGCUGGUUAGAUUUUGUAUACAAGUUGAGAUCGUGCUUAUGGUUGACUUAUCUCAUAGCUUAGCUUGAAUAACGUUUUAACAAAGCGCUAGUGUAUUUAGUCCUUAACUUGUGUAUUUGACUUAUUACAUCUAGUUAAACAUAAGGAAUAUUAUCAUAAUGGUGUUUCUUUGCAAGCAGUUUGAUAUGAUAAAGUUAUAACAACUGUUACUGAGCCUGAAUUUGAAGUCAUAAUUUUUACAUACUUGCGACUAGGAUUAAGAAUGAAGGUUGGGAUUAAAUAGUUCAAAUAUCAAUUUGAUGCCUAAUGACUGUCUUUACAAAGCUAAGUUGAUGUCUAAAUAUGGCUCUAUACAUUUCUUGAAAAGUACAGUAGCUUAGUUACAGUUUCUUUGCUGUUCAUAUUGUAGAGGAUAAUAGCCAUAAUUAGAAGCUAUAUUUUUAGGAUUUUAUUUGAGAGUUUAGAUACCAUGCUCAUAGGUUUAAUGUUUAUUUCUUGGAACUGAAUAGCUUUGCAGGUUUUGAGUAUAAUUUAAGUUUUAUUUUAUAAACUAGAAGUCUCGGAUUAAGAAGUGAAUCUCCAUGAAGUUACAUGUGCAUUAUGUUAUCUGUAAUCUAUAGUUUAUUUCUUAAAAAAGCCCAAACCAUGAGUUAGAUUCUUGGUUUAUGAAUACUCCUGAUAUUCUUGCAUACCAUGUCCUCUGAAAAGUAUAUCAUAUGGCUUUGAUAAAGGAAUGACAUCUGACUCAAACGCGUUGGACUUUGUUGGGCUAAACUCUAUUUUCCUUGGUAUUUUGUUAGAUCUCAAACUUGUUUUUGCCCUUCUCGAAUAUUAAUUUAGUGUCUCAAAUGCAUGCUUAUUUAUUACGACAACAACAACAACCCAAUAUAAUCCCAUUAGUGGGGUCUGAAGAGGGUAGUGUGUACGCAAACCUUACCCUUACCCUGGAGUAAAGAGGCUAUUUCCGAUAGACCCUCGUCCCCCCUCCAAGAACUCCCCACCUUGCUCUUGGGGUGACUUGAACUCACAACCUCUUUGGUUGGAAGUGGAGGGUGCUCACCACUAGAGCAACCCACUCUUGUCAAACAUCGUUUACGUAGAUUACAUAUCUAAUCUUUUUCUCUAUUCUUUGUCUUGCAUAUGCACUUGGAGCAAAAAUGGAGUCUCACCAAUACUACCAAGCAUGGAGUCAUCACAUCCCAUAUCAUCCUCCUUAGAAUGCACCGGAUAGCAAGAAAAAGAAACAAGCGAAACGCUUGGGGGGUGUCUAUGGCAUCCUUUUCUUUUAUUUGUAUCUAAUCUUUUAAUGAUUGUUGAUCUAUUUAUCUGUUUGUUGUUUAUCUCAACUGUGGAUUUAAUCAUCUAGGUUCUCUGCUCUCUAGUAUUUAUAUAAUCUUUAGGCAU
This 2546-nucleotide long non-coding RNA is filed under the name Nicotiana tabacum (common tobacco). RNAcentral's name for it is "long non-coding RNA (NTAB_LNC000451)". The record is from RNAcentral. Lineage: Eukaryota; Viridiplantae; Streptophyta; Magnoliopsida; Solanales; Solanaceae.